GAGUUUGAUCGUGGCUCAGAUUGAACGCUGGCGGCAGGCCUAACACAUGCAAGUCGAGCGGUAGAGAGAAGCUUGCUUCUCUUGAGAGCGGCGGACGGGUGAGUAAUGCCUAGGAAUCUGCCUGGUAGUGGGGGAUAACGCUCGGAAACGGACGCUAAUACCGCAUACGUCCUACGGGAGAAAGCAGGGGACCUUCGGGCCUUGCGCUAUCAGAUGAGCCUAGGUCGGAUUAGCUAGUUGGUGAGGUAAUGGCUCACCAAGGCGACGAUCCGUAACUGGUCUGAGAGGAUGAUCAGUCACACUGGAACUGAGACACGGUCCAGACUCCUACGGGAGGCAGCAGUGGGGAAUAUUGGACAAUGGGCGAAAGCCUGAUCCAGCCAUGCCGCGUGUG
RNAcentral lists this ribosomal RNA (394 nucleotides) under uncultured bacterium. RNAcentral's name for it is "bacterial SSU rRNA". It matches the Rfam family "Bacterial small subunit ribosomal RNA", at positions 9 to 405 of the family's 1533-position model. The record is from RNAcentral.